Panthera pardus (leopard) is the source of this 159-nucleotide unclassified non-coding RNA. NCBI's taxonomy places the organism in Eukaryota, Metazoa, Chordata, Mammalia, Carnivora, Felidae. The record is from Ensembl.
CCCUAGGCUCACGGAGCCUCCACUGCGGCUGCGCGGCUAGUAGGCAAGCGUGCGGCUUCUGCGGUUGCGCAAACUGGGCUCGCGCUCGCACGUCCCUUAGGUGCCACUCCUCCCUCCAGUCUAGUUUCCUCGGGUCGUGUGUGCAGCCUACGGUUUCUG